CGGGAAUAUUGCGCAAUGGGCGGAAGCCUGACGCAGCGACGCCGCGUGAGCGAAGAAGGCCUUCGGGUCGUAAAGCUCUGUCCUUGGGGAAGAAGGCGAAAGCUUGACGGUACCCAAGAAGAAAGCCCCGGCUAACUACGUGCCAGCAGCCGCGGUAAUACGUAGGGGGCGAGCGUUGUCCGGAAUUACUGGGCGUAAAGGGUGCGUAGGCGGCCUUUUAAGUCAGAUGUGAAAGGCUGCGGCUUAACCGCAGGACUGCAUUUGAAACUGGAAGGCUUGAGUGUCGGAGAGGGUAGUGGAAUUCCCAGUGUAGCGGUGAAAUGCGUAGAUAUUGGGAGGAACACCAGUGGCGAAGGCGACUACCUGGACGAUAACUGACGCUGAGGCACGAAAGCUAGGGGAGCAAAC
This 408-nucleotide ribosomal RNA is filed under the name uncultured bacterium. RNAcentral describes it as "bacterial SSU rRNA". It matches the Rfam family "Bacterial small subunit ribosomal RNA", at positions 356 to 773 of the family's 1533-position model. The record is from RNAcentral.